GGAGCUGUGGCAUAAUGGGUGAUGCUGAUGCCUACAGUGCCAGCAUCCCAAAAAGGCACUGGUUCAAGUCCUGGCUGCUCCA
RNAcentral lists this transfer RNA (82 nucleotides) under Oryctolagus cuniculus (rabbit). It matches the Rfam family "tRNA". From Rfam's summary of the family: Transfer RNA (tRNA) molecules are approximately 80 nucleotides in length. Their secondary structure includes four short double-helical elements and three loops (D, anti-codon, and T loops). Further hydrogen bonds mediate the characteristic L-shaped molecular structure. tRNAs have two regions of fundamental functional importance: the anti-codon, which is responsible for specific mRNA codon recognition, and the 3' end, to which the tRNAs corresponding amino acid is attached (by aminoacyl-tRNA synthetases). tRNAs cope with the degeneracy of the genetic code in two manners: having more than one tRNA (with a specific anti-codon) for a particular amino acid; and 'wobble' base-pairing, i.e. permitting non-standard base-pairing at the 3rd anti-codon position. Lineage: Eukaryota; Metazoa; Chordata; Mammalia; Lagomorpha; Leporidae. The record is from Rfam by way of RNAcentral.